Long non-coding RNA from Anthonomus grandis grandis, 1506 nucleotides. RefSeq lists it as uncharacterized. The transcript has 2 exons. The record is from RefSeq and is a predicted model, not a curated record. Lineage: Eukaryota; Metazoa; Arthropoda; Insecta; Coleoptera; Curculionidae.
UGUAGCACAUUCUCAAUUUGAAGUGCAAUUCCGUUUCGGACUUGUUCCUUUUCCAGUUGAAAAAAAGCCAAUAUAUUUAAAAUCAUCAGCUGUGAUUGUUCAUUAUACCUAUUAUAUCUUUUUUUAGGCAUUAUCUAACACUUUUCGAAAUAACUUUCAAGAACAAGUUGACAAACCAAUAUUUUUGAUUGACAGUGACGGAUAUUUCACAUAACCUAGUAUAUAAAAGAUGAAUAAUCAUCAGACACCAAUUUUUUUCAAAAGUUUGUUGUCGCCGCUGUUUGGAAUAUGCUAAACAAAGAUAAACAAAAAUGACGUCAUUACAAAUGGGUAUAAUUUCGACUUUAAGAAGCCCUCUAAAUCACUUAUAUUUUUUUAUAUAAUUUAAUUAUCUGGAAACUCAAACACUGAACUUUAGUAAAGUACAAGAUUUAUAUUUUAUAAAAUUAAAACAAAUUUUUUCCGUGAAUUCUUUUUUAACAGAACAGUUGGUGCUUGAUCGAUUGAUAUUCACUCUCGACCACUACUACGCAAGUCAGUCAUACAAAUUGAAAACAGUUCCUUUUUUCAGGCACGUACCGAAAUUUCUGUGAAGAAACGAAUUAAACGGUCCUAGAUUCGCAUUUGGAGCCUUCUGCAAAUCGUCACAACUCGCUUAAAACACUUUUGGACAUUUGCGCAAACGCGUGAAAGUUCGAUGAACGGUUUCUUCGUCGCUUGGAACGAGCGUCGCAACGAAGCUAAAAAUUUAUCAAAAUACCGAAAUGGAGAAUUUUACUGAUCCUACAAAAUUAUCUGAGAAUGAACAGGUGGCUGAAACAACGGCCAUAGUUUUCAAUUUUGCCUUUAGCACUGAAACUCAUCUUUUAGAACUGAAAACAUAGCAUAAGCAUUUUCCCUUUAAUGUCUCUAAAAUCCCUUGUUCAUUUUCAUGUAUUUAGAGGUACAGUAAAUACAGUACAGGUAGGAUAAAGUUUUGGGGUUAUUUUUUGAUUUUCAGAGAUAUCUUAAUAGUAAAUCAAUUAGACGUGAUAAAUAUGUUAAAAGUUGCCUAGUUAUUACGGGGCUUGUUCUCAAUGAGCAUAAAAAAUAAUUCCCGAUAAGUUUUUUAUGUAACACUAACAAUGACACCAGUAAUCAAAAAAAAAAGUUGUCAAUGUUUCAGUCUGUCAAACAAAUAUUGAUUUAUUAAAGUUUUAAUAAUUCAAUAAUAAUAAAGCAUCAUGAAAUUGGCAAAACCAGUCAUGGACGGAUUGUCAGUUAGAAGAGGUCUAAAGGCGGUAAUUUCAGCAGUGUCAUGCUCACUUCUAGGAGGCAUGGCAUGGCAAUAUCUUUAUAUUGAUCGGAAAAGAAAAACCUAUCAGGAUUUCUAUGCGACGUACGAUAUCCAUAAAGAGUUUGAAACUAUGAGGCAAAAAGGCCUUUUCGAUAGCUGUUAGAGGUAGCACUAUAUUUACUUAAAAAAUGUAAUAUUCAAAAAAUAAAACUUAAUAAACGUCAAUAGAA